This 78-nucleotide microRNA precursor is filed under the name Pan troglodytes (chimpanzee). RNAcentral's name for it is "miRNA (ENSPTRG00000046064.1)". Lineage: Eukaryota; Metazoa; Chordata; Mammalia; Primates; Hominidae. The record is from RNAcentral.
UUAGGUUGAUGCAAAAUAAUUGUGGGUUUUGGAAUUACUUUUAAUGGCAAAAACUGUAAUUACCUUUGUACCAACCUA